UACGUAGGGGCAAGCGUUAUCCGGAAUUACUGGGCGUAAAGAGUACGUAGGUGCCCUGUAAGCGUAGGGUUUAAGGCGACGGCCCAACCGUCGUUCGCCCUGUGAACUGCAGAGCUUGAGUGCUGGAGGGGAAGGCGGAAUUCCUAGUGUAGCGGUGAAAUGCGUAGAUAUUAGGAGGAACACCAGUGGCGAAGGCGGCCUUCUGGACAGUAACUGACACUGAGGUACGAAAGCGUGGGUAGCAAACAGGAUUAGAUACCCUGGUAGUCCCUGAGCGGGCU
Molecule: ribosomal RNA, 281 nt
Filed under: uncultured prokaryote
Description: partial 16S ribosomal RNA
Rfam family: Bacterial small subunit ribosomal RNA
Source: RNAcentral